CCUACGGGAGACAGCAGUGAGGAAUAUUGGUCAAUGGACGCAAGUCUGAACCAGCCAUGCCGCGUGCAGGAAGACGGCUCUAUGAGUUGUAAACUGCUUUUGUACGAGGGUAAACGCAGAUACGCGUAUCUGUCUGAAAGUAUCGUACGAAUAAGGAUCGGCUAACUCCGUGCCAGCAGCCGCGGUAAUACGGAGGAUUCAAGCGUUAUCCGGAUUUAUUGGGUUUAAAGGGUGCGUAGGCGGUCGGAUAAGUUAGAGGUGAAAUCCCGAGGCUCAACUUCGGAAUUGCCUCUGAUACUGUUAGGCUAGAGAGUAGUUGCUGUAGGCGGAAUGUAUGGUGUAGCGGUGAAAUGCUUAGAGAUCAUACAGAACACCGAUUGCGAAGGCAGCUUACCAAGCUACGUCUGACGUUGAGGCACGAAAGCGUGGGGAGCAAACAGGAUUAGAUACCCUGGUAGUC
Molecule: ribosomal RNA, 460 nt
Filed under: uncultured bacterium
Lineage: Bacteria
Description: partial 16S ribosomal RNA
Rfam family: Bacterial small subunit ribosomal RNA
Source: RNAcentral